GGGACCCCUUCCGCUCGACAGACAGGUGCCCCGUCAGAGCCUCGAGGGUGGCGGUGGGAGCCUGUGGUUGGGGAGCAGCCCCUGACAUCUGGGCCAACCCCUGCGGGAGAGAGCGCCAGAGCGAGAGGAGCCCAGCGGCAGCCGCCAGAGCAGGUGGGGAGGCGCAGGGGACACGGUUCCCAGCCGGAGGGGGGCGAGGAGCGGCAGAGACGCGACCCCAGACGCCGCCCCGCCUGCGAUCGCCGGGGCGCGGGGCGGCGGGAUGGGCCCCCAGGCGGCGGCCGGCGCCGGGCCCGGUUCGCGUUCUCCUCCGCGGCCUGCUGGGCUCCGCAGCGCCGCCUGGCGGACACGCCGCUCUUAGCUGCGGCCUGCGCGGCGGCCGGCGGGGCUCGGGGACCCCGCGGCGGACCCGGAGAGCGCGGGAGGGAGCCGCGAGCGCGCCGCGGGCCUGGGCGUGCGUUCCCCGGGGCGCACUCGCACCCGGGCCGGCGUGCGCAGCUCAGGCGGGCACCCCCUGCGCCGGCCCGGCGCCCGCGCGCCUCAGGUCCCUCCGCCACGUCGGGGGGCGCUCCUCCCUGCGGCCCCGCGCGCCCCAGCCCCGGCGUUGCGCUGCCUCUGCGCAGCUUCUCCGGGACCGAGGUCCCGUUAAAAUCGCUGGGAGUUUUGGGUUGGAUUUUUUUUGUUAAUAACAUACCCAGGGUGGGCGUGAAGGCACGACCUUGUCCAGUUGCUCUCCCUGCGGGUCUCAGACCUGAAAUCCCAGGGCGGGGUAACUUCUCGGUCCUUCUCCGCCCAUGCGGGUCCCGGCGGGCGAGGCGUGGUGGCGCAAGGACCCCUGUCCCGAGGCGCGAGGCUCACGGGGAGCAGCGUGUGGCCCCGAGGGGCCAGGGGCGCGGGGCUAGCGCUGGGGAGAGGAGCAGGGGCCUGGCUCUCACGUCCGCGCCGCGGGCCCCGCAGCAGCGGGGACUGGGGGCGCACCCCCUCCUGGCACGCGCGCCCCUCCCGCUCGCCGGGGUGCCCGGGGCCGGGGGUCUGUCCCGGAGCCCCGGGAUGACUUGGGCUCCCCCCGCCCCGACACCCCCUCCCCCCGCCAUCGGCCCGGGUUCUCGAGGCGCCAGGCCCAGCCCAGCCCCGCUUCCCUGGGCCGCAGCGGAGGGACACGGCCCGCGGGUCCCCCUCCGGCGCCAGCUCGGGUCCCCGCAGUCGGGGCGCGCGGGCGGGCGCGUGGGGGGCGACGGGGCCGGGGUCUCCACCAAGUUGUCUCCCGGGGGUGGGGGCCGGAGAGCGCCCGCGGCGUCCCGUGGGUCACCGGGGUGGCUGUGCGUGCCACCCGGGAAGAGGCCCGCGGCCGUGAGGCUGACGCAGGGAGGAGAGCGGGAAAGUCUCCGGGUCGCCAGCCCCCGAGCCCCGGGCGGCGGGAACGGCGCGGUGGGCCGACCGAGGCCCGGGGCUGGGGGCGGCCUGUGCGCGGCGGAGAGCCUCCCGAGGCGGCAGGGGGAGCCUGGCGCCGAGGGAACCCAGAGCGGCCUGACCCCAGGGAGAGGGGAUCCGGGUGCGCGCACCCGCCGCGCCUCCGGGGUCCCGGGGUCCCAGCAAAGGGGCGCACCGGGCCCAGAGCUCCCGCGGCCCGGGAGGGCGAGCGCCCCAACAGCCGGGAGACCCGAGCUCGCGCGCAGGGCUGAGCAGCAGCGUCUGCGGGGCGGGGGGCGGGGAGCCGGGGGCGGGUGCACCGGGCCUCGGCCCCUUCCGACACCCUCAAAAAAAUAUAGAUUAGGGCUCUUCUCUGCGCGGUUGCCUCGGAGCUACGUGCAGCUCGGUCCCGCCGCUCCAGCUGGGGAGGAGGGUCCCGCCGCGCCUUCUCCGGUCCCAGCCGGCAGCCCCGGGACAGGCCCUCGGCGCCCCCCUGGAUGCCCCGGCGAGACCGAGGAUGGGCUCGGGGCCCCUCGGGGCCGAGUGUGA
Molecule: long non-coding RNA, 1959 nt
Filed under: Canis lupus familiaris (dog)
Lineage: Eukaryota; Metazoa; Chordata; Mammalia; Carnivora; Canidae
Description: lncRNA (ENSCAFG00030018491.1)
Source: RNAcentral